Molecule: ribosomal RNA, 253 nt
Filed under: uncultured bacterium
Lineage: Bacteria
Description: partial 16S ribosomal RNA
Rfam family: Archaeal small subunit ribosomal RNA
Source: RNAcentral
UACCAGCACCCCGAGUGGUCGGGACGAUUAUUGGGCCUACAGCAUCCGUAGCCGGUUCUACAAGUCUUCCGUUAAAUCCACCUGCUUAACAGAUGGGCUGCGGAGGAUACUAUAGACCUAGGAGGCGGGAGAGGCAAGCGGUACUUAGUGGGUAGGGGUAAAAUCCGUUGAUCCAUUGAAGACCACCAGUGGCGAAGGCGGCUUGCCAGAACGCACUCGACGGUGAGGGAUGAAAGCUGGGGGAGCAAACCGG